Molecule: ribosomal RNA, 678 nt
Filed under: uncultured Hebeloma
Lineage: Eukaryota; Fungi; Basidiomycota; Agaricomycetes; Agaricales; Cortinariaceae
Description: eukaryotic LSU rRNA
Rfam family: 5.8S ribosomal RNA (bases 292-445)
Source: RNAcentral
UAGAAUAAAAGUCGUAACAAGGUUUCCGUAGGUGAACCUGCGGAAGGAUCAUUAUUGAAUGAACUUGGUGUGGUUGUUGCUGGCUCUUUCGAGGGCAUGUGCACGCCCACCAUCCUCAUCUCUCCACCUGUGCACCUCUUGUAGACUUGGAUUGACUUUCCGAGGCAACUCGGUCGGGAGGAUUGCCGGCGCCAGCUGGCUUUCUUUGCAUUUCCAGGUCUACGUUUUUCAUAUACCCCAUUGUAUGUAACAGAAUGUAACAUUGGGCACUUGUGCCUAUAAACUUUAUACAACUUUCAGCAACGGAUCUCUUGGCUCUCGCAUCGAUGAAGAACGCAGCGAAAUGCGAUAAGUAAUGUGAAUUGCAGAAUUCAGUGAAUCAUCGAAUCUUUGAACGCACCUUGCGCUCCUUGGUAUUCCGAGGAGCAUGCCUGUUUGAGUGUCAUUAAAUUCUCAACCUUUAUCAACUUUUGUCGAUAAUGGCUUGGAUAUGGGGGUUAAUUUUGCUGGCUUCUUUACAGAUGGUCAGCUCCCCUUAAAUGCAUUAGCCGGUGCCCCGCGUGGACUGUCUAUUGGUGUGAUAAUUAUCUACGCCGUGGACAUCUGCAAUCAUAUGGGUUUGCACUGCUUCCAACUGUCUGUUGAAUCAGACAAUACAUGACAAUUGACCUCAAAUCA